GUGGGGAAUAUUGGACAAUGGGCGAAAGCCUGAUCCAGCCAUGCCGCGUGUGUGAAGAAGGUCUUCGGAUUGUAAAGCACUUUAAGUUGGGAGGAAGGGCAUUAACCUAAUACGUUAGUGUUUUGACGUUACCGACAGAAUAAGCACCGGCUAACUCUGUGCCAGCAGCCGCGGUAAUACAGAGGGUGCAAGCGUUAAUCGGAAUUACUGGGCGUAAAGCGCGCGUAGGUGGUUCGUUAAGUUGGAUGUGAAAUCCCCGGGCUCAACCAGGGAACUGCAUCCAAAACUGGCGAGCUAGAGUAGGGCAGAGGGUGGUGGAAUUUCCUGUGUAGCGGUGAAAUGCGUAGAUAUAGGAAGGAACACCAGUGGCGAAGGCGACCACCUGGGCUCAUACUGACACUGAGGUGCGAAAGCGUGGGGAGCAAACAGGAUUAGAAACCCGUGUAGUCC
RNAcentral lists this ribosomal RNA (450 nucleotides) under uncultured bacterium. RNAcentral's name for it is "bacterial SSU rRNA". It matches the Rfam family "Bacterial small subunit ribosomal RNA", at positions 354 to 796 of the family's 1533-position model. The record is from RNAcentral.